This 443-nucleotide ribosomal RNA is filed under the name uncultured bacterium. Its description in RNAcentral is "partial 16S ribosomal RNA". It matches the Rfam family "Bacterial small subunit ribosomal RNA", at positions 338 to 795 of the family's 1533-position model. The record is from RNAcentral.
CCUACGGGGGGCAGCAGUGGGGAAUAUUGGGCAAUGGGCGCAAGCCUGACCCAGCAACGCCGCGUGAAGGAAGAAGGCUUUCGGGUUGUAAACUUCUUUUCUGAGGGACGAAGAAAGUGACGGUACCUCAGGAAUAAGCCACGGCUAACUACGUGCCAGCAGCCGCGGUAAUACGUAGGUGGCAAGCGUUAUCCGGAUUUAUUGGGUGUAAAGGGCGUGUAGGCGGGAAAGCAAGGCAGAUGUGAAAACUCAGGGCUCAACCCGGAGCCUGCAUUUGAAACUGUUUUUCUUGAGUGCUGGAGGUGCCAUCGCAAUUCCGUGUGUAGCGGUGAAAUGCGUCGAUAUACGGAGGAACACCAGUGGCGACGGCGGAUUGCUGGACAGUAACUGACGCUGAGGCGCGCACGCGUGGGGAGCAAACAGGAUUAGAUACCCCAGUAGUC